CUAACGACUCUCGGCAACGGAUAUCUCGGCUCAUGCAUCGAUGAAGAACGUAGCGAAAUGCGAUACUUGGUGUGAAUUGCAGAAUCCCGUGAACCAUCGAGUCUUUGAACGCAAGUUGCGCCCGAAGCCAUUCGGCCGAGGGCACGUCUGCCUGGGCGUCACGC
Molecule: ribosomal RNA, 164 nt
Filed under: Goodenia nigrescens
Lineage: Eukaryota; Viridiplantae; Streptophyta; Magnoliopsida; Asterales; Goodeniaceae
Description: 5.8S ribosomal RNA
Rfam family: 5.8S ribosomal RNA
About the family: 5.8S ribosomal RNA (5.8S rRNA) is a component of the large subunit of the eukaryotic ribosome. It is transcribed by RNA polymerase I as part of the 45S precursor that also contains 18S and 28S rRNA.
Source: RNAcentral